CCUACGGGAGGCAGCAGUGGGGAAUCUUGUGCAAUGGACGAAAGUCUGACACAGCCACGCCGCGUGCGGGAAGAAGGCCUUCGGGUUGUAAACCGCUUUCAGCAGGAACGAAAAUGACGGUACCUGCAGAAGAAGAUGCGGCCAACUACGUGCCAGCAGCCGCGGUAAUA
Molecule: ribosomal RNA, 170 nt
Filed under: uncultured bacterium
Lineage: Bacteria
Description: partial 16S ribosomal RNA
Rfam family: Bacterial small subunit ribosomal RNA
Source: RNAcentral